UAAAGCGUGCGCAGGCGGUUAUGUAAGACAGAUGUGAAAUCCCCGGGCUCAACCUGGGAACUGCAUUAGUGACUGCAUAGCUGGAGUACGGCAGAGGGGGAUGGAAUUCCGCGUGUAGCAGUGAAAUGCGUAGAUAUGCGGAGGAACACCGAUGGCGAAGGCAAUCCCCUGGGCCUGUACUGACGCUCAUGCACGAAAGCGUGGGGAGCAAACAGGAUUAGAUACCCUGU
This 230-nucleotide ribosomal RNA is filed under the name uncultured bacterium. Its description in RNAcentral is "partial 16S ribosomal RNA". It matches the Rfam family "Bacterial small subunit ribosomal RNA", at positions 561 to 790 of the family's 1533-position model. The record is from RNAcentral.